AUCCUAAAAUGAGCGCUCUUCUGGGCUCCCGGAGCUCGGAGGAAGGCGUAGCUAGAGAUAGCUUGCUCCCUCUCCCUCUCCCUCUCCCUCUCUCUCUCUCUCUCUCUCUCACUCUCUCUCCCCUGCCCUCCCCCCUUGGUGUUUCUUCCAGCUCAGCCUCCUUCUCAUUCCAUCUCUACGUGCCCAGAGCUUCAAAUACAACCCUCCCAUCGCAAUCAGAUGGGCACAAAACUUCAAGCAGCCGUUUCUCUGCCUGGAAGCGGUGAAAAUAUAGCCUGGAUGGGUGGGGAUGCCGAGGCCCGGAGAAGUUGAGCAGUUAGCCCAAGGGCACAGCGGCAGAGCUGGGCACGAGACGGGGUCCCCCGCAUUCUGCGUGCGAUCAGCCUGCCUCGUCCACCUGCCGGGCGACGGCACCGGCUCCAGCAUCUUCCCUGCAGGAGCAGGUACACAGAAGGCGCUCCUGUGCUCACGGGCCCCGAGGAGAAGCCGGACGCGUCUCUCAUACCCCGGCCUCUGGUCUCAGAAGAGCAGCUUGAGCAUCUCUCUCUCCUGCCUCCGUCCCAAGUCCCCUCCUCGCAGCCUCCCGAGACGGGACCGCGGCCACCUCCGCAGAGCCAGCCCCAGGGGACCAGGUCUCCUGUCCCCGGGACCCCUGGGACACCGCUCGCCGACUGACCUAUAUUCCGCUCCACUGCUAUUUGCCGUCUUUGUCCCCUCCCGCCCAGCACGCAACCCCACCCUGCCCAAACACUCCCGUCCCUCCAAGGACGUUGUAAAAAUAAAACGAUCACAACCUGGCCCUCGGGGAACCUUG
Molecule: long non-coding RNA, 814 nt
Organism: Leopardus geoffroyi (Geoffroy's cat)
Lineage: Eukaryota; Metazoa; Chordata; Mammalia; Carnivora; Felidae
Exons: 2
Source: RefSeq, a predicted model, not a curated record